AACGAACGCUGGCGGCAGGCUUAACACAUGCAAGUCGAACGCCCGUAGCAAUACGGGAGUGGCGGACGGGUGAGUAACGCGUGGGAACGUGCCCUGAGGUACGGAAUAACUGCGGGAAACUGCAGCUAAUACCGUAUGAGCCCCGCAAGGGGGAAAGAUUUAUCGCCUUAGGAGCGGCCCGCGUCGGAUUAGCUAGUUGGUGGGGUAACGGCUUACCAAGGCUUCGAUCCGUAGCAGGUCUGAGAGGACGAUCAGCCACACUGGGACUGAGACACGGCCCAGACUCCUACGGGAGGCAGCAGUGGGGAAUCUUGCGCAAUGGGGGCAACCCUGACGCAGCCAUGCCGCGUGAAUGAUGAAGGCCUUAGGGUUGUAAAGUUCUUUUGCCCGUGACGAUGAUGACGGUAACGGGAGAAUAAGCUCCGGCUAACUUCGUGCCAGCAGCCGCGGUAA
This 453-nucleotide ribosomal RNA is filed under the name uncultured bacterium. RNAcentral's name for it is "partial 16S ribosomal RNA". It matches the Rfam family "Bacterial small subunit ribosomal RNA", at positions 29 to 523 of the family's 1533-position model. The record is from RNAcentral.